UUUAGGUAGUCCGGUACCAAAGUACAGUGAGUUGCUUGCUAGUCACAGGUUGCGAUCUCAGGUCAGAGGGCCAAACUUAUACCCAUAUCCACUCGGAACAUCUCUUGACAGUAGAGCGUUCCGGAAUUGGUCACGUUCAGUGAAAUGUACUCCUACACUUCACCUGUAUGGCGUACCAGUGUCUCCACACUCCUUAGUUAAGAGGACAACCAACGUAUAUGUCACACAAUGACCUAAUCUCGAUAGUUGUCGUCCUAGUAACAACAUAUCAUUUGGUCGCGAACAAGUUUAAGGACUCAAAGGUAAAUCCUCCUU
RNAcentral lists this long non-coding RNA (315 nucleotides) under Phoenix dactylifera (date palm). Its description in RNAcentral is "long non-coding RNA (PDAC_LNC014941)". The record is from RNAcentral. Lineage: Eukaryota; Viridiplantae; Streptophyta; Magnoliopsida; Arecales; Arecaceae.